AUGCCACCAAAACAGCCUCUGGCCUCUCCAUCCGCAGGUUGGAGUGGUUCUGCAGACCCCAGCAGAGGAGCGCGAAAGUCAACGGGAAGAAGACACAGCCCAGUACAAAAAGCAGGGUCAUGCCUGUCUGGGGGACAAAAGGACGUGUCUGAACACCCCGCGGAGGAAGAAGACAGCACCAGCCACUGCUGGCACGGGGCUGCAGCCCCUGGCUACACACACCUCCGAAAGACAGCGGCGACUUCGGACACCUCUCUCCCGCCCCAGCCUGACUCCCCAGGUGAGUCCCUCUCUCACCCCCGACGGACUUCACAAGCCUGUCUCACAGUUCAUCCCGGGCCUGCAGUUGGCCGUUUCCCGCUCUUUCAGCCUCUUUGAAGGCCAGAUGCGGUCCUGCGCAUCCUCCUCCCCUGAGCGCCGCCGCCGCCGCCUCGGCCCUGCGGAGGUGUACAGGUGCGAUAGCAUCGAAGGCUGUGAAUAAGUAAAUAAGCAGCCAGAAGUGGCCCGUUUCCCCACAUGAUACCCAGGGAAGGGUCCAGUUCCCCCUCCCCAUGCUCUGGGGAGUGUCCUGGCGGUGCACCAGAUCAUUUAUUAUUCAGUGCUUUUAUUGUCCCUGUCCCAAGGUAGGUACUAUUCCAAGCAAGUUCAGCCCCACCCUUCAUCUGUGCCGUAGAAAAGGCCGAGGCGGCACAUUAGGGGAGUCGGAGGGAGACAACUAAGCGUUCAGACCAUUUUCCCUCCUUAGGUUGGCUGUGUGACCUUGGGCAAGUGUCAGAACCUCUCUGAGCUCCAGUUGUGUACAAAGUCCCAUUGCCUGGGCUCCAAUCUUAGUUCCAUCACUCACUAGCCAGGAGAACUUGUGCAAGCGAUUUGGCUCCUCUGAGCCUCAAGCUUUUCAUCUAUAAAAUGGGGACAGGAGCAGAAGGGCUGCGGGAUGACUGAAUGAGAUGAGAUGUGUGUAAACACAGUUACUAUGUGGCACAUUGUAAAUAGUCGUUGUGAUCGUCAUUCAAGGUUCUUGUUCUCUUUUUUUAAUGACUCAUGUUCUGUGCCAGGUGCUCUACCUAUAUUUUCUCUGAGCAUCACAAUAAGCCUUGGCAGUUUCUUAGCCCCACUUUCCAGAUAAAGAAGACUGAGUCCCAGGGAGGUCAACUGACUUGCUCAAGGUCACACUGACACAUGGUGGCAGAACUAGAAUUCAAGCCUAGAUCAUAAUUCUUUUUUCUUUCUUUCUUUUUCUUUUUGACUAUGCCUGCAGCAUGUGGAAGUUCCCAGGCCAGGGAUCAAACCCCACGCCACAGUUGCAACCCGCACCACACCUGUGGCACCACUGGAUCCUUAACCUUCUGUGCCACACAGGAACUUCCCAUAGUUCUCUUCUUUUUUUUUUUUUUUUUCUUUUUUUCUUUUUUUGGCCACAGCGUGCAGCAGCUUCACAUUUGAGCCCAGUUCCCAGAUCAGGGAUUGAACUGGGGCUGCAGUGAUGAAAGCCCUGAAUCCUAACCCCUGGACCACCAGGGAACUCUCCAUAAUUCGUUUCUCUCUGUAAAGUGGAAGUGAUGGUUUCUGCCUACUGUUAGGAGAAAAUAAGGGAAAGUCUGUGACGAGGGCGCCACUGACCCUCUAGUUCAGCAGAGUUCAGCUUCUUAUUCCCCCAGAGAGUAACUACCUAAGCAUCAGCCUUUCAUUUUCAUAAUAAGGAGGCUAGUGAACCCCAUCUUGGUCUCUGGGAGGCCAUAUUACCUGGAAGCAUUAGAUCAAAAUCAAAACUGCCAGAUUCCUUUCCCACGUCCAAGCCCAGGUCCUCAGAGGCUCCUUUCAUCUUCUGGGCUUUCUCUGCAUCUCAGGUCUCCCACUUACCCCAUGAUUUUUGGAAAGCCAUAGUCUUUUACUCUCUCUCCCAGGGGCGGUGUGAAACCACAAGUGAUAAUAUCUCCCAUCGCCAGCUUUGAACUUCAGAUAGAAGGAGACCUUAUGGCAGUUGGACUAUCUGAGAGGUCAGUUUCUCCCUGCUUCCAACAGGGGGUGUGAUGUGGGUGGAAGCGGGGCCCUGGCCAAGUGGGGUGCGUUCAUCACCUCCUUUCUUGCCUUGCAACAAACAGACCUGGUGCCCUGUGCCGCCUCCUGCAUAAUGCAUGCGCGCGUGGUAGGAACAGAACCCCGUCCGUGGUGAGUCUGGCCGCUGUGGGCCAUGGACGUGUCCAGAGGCCUUGCCAAGGCUGGUGUCUCUAGGAUGUUGGCAGGAGUUGAGGAGACAGAGGGAGUAUGUGUCACCUGAAAAUUUUCCUGGGGCUGAGGUGGGAACAGGUUGCAUCUUGAGCCUCAGGAUUCUGCAAAGAAAAUAGGGGAAGACAUGAGUUCCCAUGGCUCAGCGGUAAGGAACCAAAAUAAUACCCACGAGGACGUGGGUUUGAUCCUUGGCCCUGAUCAGUGGGUUAAGGAUCCGGCAUUGCUGUGAGAUGUGGUGUAGGCUGCAGACUUAGCUUGAAUCCUGCAUUGCUGGCUGUGGGGUAGGUCAGCAGCUGCAGCUCUGAUCUGCAGACCCUAAAAAAGAAAAAAAGAAAAAAAAAAGUGGGCAGUCAGAGUGCCUCACAAGCCCAGGGAAGGCAUCACCUCAUUGGUUGGAUUCCACUCAUUCAUAGAAUCAGUAAGUACUCAAGGCCAAGCUAACUGCUAGGGCUUAAGAUAUGAAGAUGAGGAGUUCCCAUUGUGGCUCAGUGGUUAACGAAGCCAACUAGGAACCAUGAGGUUGUGGGUUCGAUCCCUGGCCUCACUCAGUGGGUUAAGGAUCUGGCGUUGCCUCGAGCUGUGGUGUAGGUUGCAGACUCAGCUCAGAUCCCACAUUGCUGUGGCUCUGGCGUAGGCCAGCGGCUACAGCUCCAAUUGGACCCCUAGCCUGGGAACCUCCAUAUGCCCCGGGUGCAGCCCUAGAAAAAAAAGACAUGAAGAUGAAUCAGGGGAGUUCCUGUUGUGGCUCAGUAGGUUAAGGACCCAAUGUUGUCUCUGUGAGGAUGUGUGUGCAUUUGAUCUCCGGCCUUGCUCAUUGGGUUAAGGAUCCAGUGUUGCUGUGGCUGUGUUGUAGGCUGGCAGCUGCAGCUCUGAUUCAACCUGUGGCCUGUGAACUUCCAUAUGCCACAGGUGCAACCAUAAAAAGAAAAGAAAAAAAAAAAAGGUGAAUCAGGGAGUUCCCGUCGUAGAUUAGUGGGUUAAGAAUCUGGGAGUUCCCGUCGUGGCGCAGUGGUUAAUGAAUCUCACUAGGAACCAUGAGGUUGUGGGUUCGAUCCCUGGUCUCGCUCAGUGGGUUACGGAUCCGGCAUUGCCGUGAGCUGUGGUGUAGGUCGCAGACGUGGCUCAGAUCCUGCGUUGCUGUGGCUGUGGUUGUGGCUGGCAGCUGCAGCUCUGAUUCGACCCCUAGGCUGGGAACCUCCAUAUGCCGCGGGUGCGGCCCUAGAAGACAAAAAGACAAAAAGAAAAAGCACAAAAUCCGAUGUGGGUGGAGCAAACCACUUUGAUGGUGAUGUGAGGGUUGAAGAGACCAGAUGAUGAAUCUUAAGUUUGGGCACUGGACUUCACGCUUUGGCUCAGUGGGUUAAAAAUCCCACUGCAGCAGCUCGUGUAGCUUCGGAGGUGCAGUUUCGAUCCUCUGUGGUAGGUCGCAGCUAUAGCUGGGAUUCAAUCCCUGGCCUGGGGAACUUACAUAUUCCCCCGAGUGCUGCCAUAAAAUAAAAAAUAAAAAAACGCUGUUAAUAAAAGUGAGUGCGAUGAGGUUGAAACAAUAUUGAGGAUAGUUCUAUACAAUUAAGAAGUAGCUUUGACUUUUACAGUAUCCGUGGGAGGAUACUGUUUCUCCUCGGUUUACACUGGAAUAACACGGAUUCUUCGAGGCAUAGUGACUUAGCCGAAGUCACAUAGCCAGUUGAUGGUAUAGCCCGGGGGUUCAAUCUUCCCUUUGUAGCACACAGCGCACAAUGAGGAUCCGACUUAGGCGGGUAUCUGCGGGAACUCCCCAUUUCUAUUCUGUAACUGCGGGAAAGCUCAGGGGACCCCAACUAAAAAGAAGAGCUGGUGACCAAAGAAGAUCGCGAAGGGGAAGCGCGGGGUGGAGAAGGAGUUUUGGGUCUGAGCGGCCGCCGUAGGAGCGGCGCUCUGAUCUCCAUAGCAACCGCGAGAAGCAGCGGGAGGCUUCUGGGCGGUGCAGCGGCCGCGGCGGAUUGGAUCAAGCAAAGCGCGGAAUCCGUGAACUGGCCGCGGCCCCGAGGGCGCAGGUAAAGCCGUUAGGUCAAUGGAGGGAGCCCGGGGUUGGGGGAAAACAGGGGUGUGGUCUGGGUCGGGCAGGGCCUUCGAAGGUGGUGCCGCUCCGAAUC
Molecule: long non-coding RNA, 4364 nt
Filed under: Sus scrofa (pig)
Lineage: Eukaryota; Metazoa; Chordata; Mammalia; Artiodactyla; Suidae
Description: lncRNA (ENSSSCG00060070047.1)
Source: RNAcentral